CGCCGCGUGUGGCCCGGGUGACCAGGCAGUCCGUUCCGGGCGGGCACUGUGAUCCCGGUCGCCGUCGGUUCGGGUAUUCGAUCCGGGGCGG
Molecule: transfer RNA, 91 nt
Filed under: Nocardiopsis terrae
Lineage: Bacteria; Bacillati; Actinomycetota; Actinomycetes; Streptosporangiales; Nocardiopsidaceae
Description: tRNA-Arg
Source: RNAcentral